This 503-nucleotide ribosomal RNA is filed under the name uncultured bacterium. RNAcentral's name for it is "bacterial SSU rRNA". It matches the Rfam family "Bacterial small subunit ribosomal RNA", at positions 15 to 507 of the family's 1533-position model. The record is from RNAcentral.
GAUCCUGGCUCAGGAUGAACGCUAGCUACAGGCUUAACACAUGCAAGUCGAGGGGAACGAUAGAGAAAGCUUGCUUUUCUAGGCGUCGACCGGCGCACGGGUGAGUAACGCGUAUCCAACCUGCCCACCACUUGGGGAUAACCUUGCGAAAGUAAGACUAAUACCCAAUGACGUCUCUAGAAGACAUCUGAAAGAGAUUAAAGAUUUAUCGGUGAUGGAUGGGGAUGCGUCUGAUUAGCUUGUUGGCGGGGUAACGGCCCACCAAGGCGACGAUCAGUAGGGGUUCUGAGAGGAAGGUCCCCCACAUUGGAACUGAGACACGGUCCAAACUCCUACGGGAGGCAGCAGUGAGGAAUAUUGGUCAAUGGACGAGAGUCUGAACCAGCCAAGUAGCGUGCAGGAUGACGGCCCUAUGGGUUGUAAACUGCUUUUAUAAGGGAAUAAAGUGGGAGUCGUGACUCUUUUUGCAUGUACCUUAUGAAUAAGGACCGGCUAAUUCCGUG